RNAcentral lists this transfer RNA (545 nucleotides) under uncultured Colwelliaceae bacterium. RNAcentral's name for it is "partial 16S-23S ribosomal RNA intergenic spacer". The stretch from base 91 to 164 matches the Rfam family "tRNA". The record is from RNAcentral. Lineage: Bacteria; Pseudomonadati; Pseudomonadota; Gammaproteobacteria; Alteromonadales; Colwelliaceae.
CCUCCUUAUCUUGAAGUAAAACGUUUUAAUGAAAGCCUUGGCUUUGCGAGUGUUCACACAAAUUGUAUGAUAAUGAAUUAGAGAAACGAUAGGUCUGUAGCUCACCUGGUUAGAGCGCACCCCUGAUAAGGGUGAGGUCGGCAGUUCAAGUCUGCCCAGACCUACCAAUAUAGUUUACUCAGUGUUAGUUCGCACCUCGUGUAAUAAACUACACAGGGUUAGCAACUGCCUUGAUUAAAACCUAAAUUUUCGUUUUAUUCUACUAUAAAGAAAGAAACCAAACUUAACGCAUCAAUGAUUGAUGGUUUAAGUUUGGUUUUUUAAACCAAGUUUUUAACCGAGUGCGCGUUAAUCACUACUUCUUUAACAAUCUGGAAAGCUGAUAUAAAUAUCGGUAUUUAUAUAACAAACACGGUGUCGCGCUGUUGUUUGUAAUAUUAUAAAUACCAAGCUGUNAGUACAUUCUCUUAUCGUGAAUGUGUUAAUGGUGGUAAUGCAUCCCCCAAGGAUGUGUUAUCGAAUUCAUACUGCUCGCAAAACCAAAA